AUCAGCUUGAGCCUCUGGACAACUAAAGAUUUGCCUGGAUGACAUCCUACGGGAAGGAAGAGAAGCCAUCUUGCAAGAGUGGGGACCUCUGGGAUAUUUUUCAACAUAAGAUCACUCAGGAAAACUUUGACCUCCAGAAGAGAGAAUACAAAAGGGUUAACUUACAAGAGGACCUGAAGUUUCUUCAGAAGCUGGUGACAUUGAUGAGUUCCUCUUCCCUUCUUGGAUGCAAGGUUUUACAAAUAUAAUGUAGGGUUUAAACUCGGGA
Long non-coding RNA from Antechinus flavipes (yellow-footed antechinus), 268 nucleotides. RefSeq lists it as uncharacterized. The record is from RefSeq and is a predicted model, not a curated record. Lineage: Eukaryota; Metazoa; Chordata; Mammalia; Dasyuromorphia; Dasyuridae. The transcript has 2 exons.